RNAcentral lists this ribosomal RNA (253 nucleotides) under uncultured bacterium. Its description in RNAcentral is "partial 16S ribosomal RNA". It matches the Rfam family "Bacterial small subunit ribosomal RNA", at positions 524 to 776 of the family's 1533-position model. The record is from RNAcentral.
UACAGAGGUCUCAAGCGUUGUUCGGAUUCAUUGGGCGUAAAGGGUGCGUAGGCGGCGCGGUAAGUCGGGUGUGAAAUCUCGGAGCUUAACUCCGAAACUGCAUUCGAUACUGCCGUGCUUGAGGACUGGAGAGGAGACUGGAAUUUACGGUGUAGCGGUGAAAUGCGUAGAUAUCGUAAGGAAGACCAGUGGCGAAGGCGGGUCUCUGGACAGUUCCUGACGCUCAGGCACGAAAGCCAGGGGAGCAAACGGG